AUAGUUUGAUCCUGGCUCAGGAUGAACGCUAGCGGCAGGCCUAACACAUGCAAGCCGAGGGGUUUUGUAGCAAUGCAAGACGACCGGCGCACGGGUGCGUAACGCGUAUGCAAUCUACCUAUCACACGGGGACAGGUCCCGGAAACGGGAAUUAAUAUCCGAUGGCGCAUUGAUACCGCAUGGUAUUGGAAGCUAAAGAUUUAUCGGUGAUAGAUGAGCAUGCGUGACAUUAGCUAGUUGGUGAGGUAACGGCUCACCAAGGCAACGAUGUCUAGGGGUUCUGCAAGGAAGAUCCCCCACACUGGUACUGAGACACGGACCAGACUCCUACGGGAGGCAGCAGUGAGGAAUAUUGGUCAAUGGGUGCAAGCCUGAACCAGCCAUGCCGCGUGCAGGACUAAGGCCCUCUGGGUCGUAAACUGCUUUUGUACGAGAAUAAAUGUUGGUACGUGUACCAAUUUGCAGGUAUUGUACGAAUAAGCAUCGGCUAACUCCGUGCCAGCAGCCGCGGUAAUACGGAGGAUGCGAGCGUUAUCCGGAUUUAUUAGGUUUAAAGGGUACGUAGGCUGCCCGUUAAGUCAGGGGUGAAAUGCGCGGGCUCAACCUGCGCGCUGCCCUUGAAACUGAUGGGCUAGAGUUGUGACGGGGCAAGCGGAAUGUGCGGAGUAGCGGUGAAAUGCAUAGAUACCGCACAGAACACCGAUAGCGAAGGCAGCUUGCCAGGGACAUACUGACGCUAAUGUACGAAAGCGUGGGUAGCGAACAGGAUUAGAUACCCUGGUAUCC
Molecule: ribosomal RNA, 786 nt
Filed under: uncultured bacterium
Lineage: Bacteria
Description: bacterial SSU rRNA
Rfam family: Bacterial small subunit ribosomal RNA
Source: RNAcentral